Molecule: long non-coding RNA, 226 nt
Filed under: Elaeis guineensis (African oil palm)
Lineage: Eukaryota; Viridiplantae; Streptophyta; Magnoliopsida; Arecales; Arecaceae
Description: long non-coding RNA (EGUI_LNC079867)
Source: RNAcentral
UGAUUCAAGAUUUAAUAACAUUGCAUAAAACAUGGGGCAUGGGUUAGCUCAAAUCAGAUCUUUAUCUUUAAUUGAGUUAGACCUAAGAUUAGAAUCAAAGAUUUGAUUGAUCAUGUAGAGAAAUUGAUUAAGUCUAACUAAAUAUUAAAUUAAAUUAAUCAAAAUUUUUUUAAUAUAAUAGCUGUAAAUAAUCAAGUUCAUGUCUUUGAUUAGAUCAAAUGGAUCU